CGUGAGCUGGGUUUAGAACGUCGUGAGACAGUUCGGUCCCUAUCUUCCGUGGGUGUAGGAUACUUGAGAGGAGUUGCCCCUAGUACGAGAGGACCGGGGUGAACGAUCCACUGGUGUACCAGUUGUUCCGCCAGGAGCAGUGCUGGGUAGCUAUGAUCGGACAGGAUAACCGCUGAAGGCAUCUAAGCGGGAAGCCCCCCUCAAAACAAGGUAUCCCUGAGAGCCGAGGUAGACCACCUCGUCGAUAGGCCAGAGAUGUAAGUGCAGUAAUGCAUUCAGUUGACUGGUACUAAUUGCUCGAUAGGCUUGAU
This 311-nucleotide ribosomal RNA is filed under the name Thalassiosira minuscula. RNAcentral describes it as "partial Bacterial large subunit ribosomal RNA". It matches the Rfam family "Bacterial large subunit ribosomal RNA", at positions 2599 to 2925 of the family's 2925-position model. Lineage: Eukaryota; Bacillariophyta; Thalassiosirophyceae; Thalassiosirales; Thalassiosiraceae. The record is from RNAcentral.